RNAcentral lists this ribosomal RNA (253 nucleotides) under uncultured bacterium. Its description in RNAcentral is "partial 16S ribosomal RNA". It matches the Rfam family "Bacterial small subunit ribosomal RNA", at positions 524 to 776 of the family's 1533-position model. The record is from RNAcentral.
UACGUAGGGUGCGAGCGUUAAUCGGAAUUACUGGGCGUAAAGCGUGCGCAGGCGGUUGUGCAAGACCGAUGUGAAAUCCCCGGGCUUAACCUGGGAAUGGCGCUUGUGACUGCAAAGCUGGAGUGCGGCAGAGGGGGAUGGAAUUCCGCGUGUAGCAGUGAAAUGCGUAGAUAUGCGGAGGAACACCGAUGGCGAAGGCAAUCCCCUGGGCCUGCACUGACGCUCAUGCACGAAAGCGUGGGGAGCAAACAGG